GGCAGUUUUGAGUGAUGUUACUUCUUUAAUAUUAAAGGAGACAUCAGUUAAAUCUGUGGU
RNAcentral lists this microRNA precursor (60 nucleotides) under Astyanax mexicanus (Mexican tetra). RNAcentral describes it as "mir-723 microRNA precursor family". It matches the Rfam family "mir-723 microRNA precursor family". The record is from Rfam by way of RNAcentral. Lineage: Eukaryota; Metazoa; Chordata; Actinopteri; Characiformes; Acestrorhamphidae.